CACCGGGGCGACAGCAAUAUGUAGGUCAAGCUAAAGACUUUACCAGAAUCGCUGAGAGGAGGUGCAUGGCCGUCGUCAGUUCGUACUGUGAAGCAUCCUGUUAGGUCAGGCAACGAGCGAGACCCGUGCCCACUGUUGCCAGCAUGUCCUUCGGGAUGAUGGGUACUCUGUGGGGACCGCCGAUGCUAAAUCGGAGGAAGGUGCGGGCUACGGUAGGUCAGUAUGCCCCGAAUCUCCCGGGCUACACGCGGGCUACAAUGACUGGGACAAUGGGCUCCUACCCCGAAAGGGGAUGGUAAUCUCAUAAACCCAGCCUUAGUUCGGAUCGAGGGCUGUAACCCGCCCUCGUGAAGCUGGAAUCCGUAGUAAUCGCGUUUCAACAUAGCGCGGUGAAUACGUCCCUGCUCCUU
RNAcentral lists this ribosomal RNA (410 nucleotides) under uncultured Methanomethylovorans sp. RNAcentral's name for it is "bacterial SSU rRNA". It matches the Rfam family "Archaeal small subunit ribosomal RNA", at positions 928 to 1338 of the family's 1478-position model. Lineage: Archaea; Methanobacteriati; Methanobacteriota; Methanomicrobia; Methanosarcinales; Methanosarcinaceae. The record is from RNAcentral.